Long non-coding RNA from Capsicum annuum, 445 nucleotides. RefSeq lists it as uncharacterized. The transcript has 3 exons. NCBI's taxonomy places the organism in Eukaryota, Viridiplantae, Streptophyta, Magnoliopsida, Solanales, Solanaceae. The record is from RefSeq and is a predicted model, not a curated record.
AAGGUUCCAAAAUUAAUUAUCUUAUGGUUGAAUAGUGAACAAAAAAGAGUCCACCAUGGAAUAUUAAUCCACCAUCGAAUUCAACUAUCCAAUGGAGCAGGCGAAGCUGCCGUCUGCGAGGAAGGGCAACCACUGGAAAUUCUAAAAGAUCUGAAGAGGCCAAUUUAAACUUGGGUUCAGCUUAGCACAAGUGCCAUGACUAGGGUCUGAGGCUCAAUUCAGGGGUCCUGCUAGACCAUAGAUUUGACAGACAGAAGUGUGCAGUUGGUGAGCCUCCCUUACAUAAGAAGGCCUUUCUUAGAGUAUUGUUAUUUCAUUAUGGUACUGGUCCAAUUGGGGGCCUUGUCCCAGUUUUAAGUAAGAUGUUGGUUUUGAUGUAUUAGAUAUUUUGCAAACUGAUGUUAAGUUCUAUUAGGAGUUUAUCAAAUUUCAUCUUAGGAUUUGU